CCCUUAGAUGUUCUGGGCCGCACGCGCGCUACACUGAUGCAUGCAACGAGUUUAUAACCUUGGCCUGAAAGGUCUGGGUAAUCUUUUGAACGUGCAUCGUGAUAGGGAUAGAUUAUUGCAAUUGUUAAUCUUGAACGAGGAAUUCCUAGUAAACGCAAGUCAUCAGCUUGCAUUGAAUACGUCCCUGCCCUUUGUACACACCGCCCGUCGCACCUACCGAUUGAAUGGUCCGGUGAAAUCUUGGGAUCCUGUGAGACGGUCUUUAUUGUACUGUUUUGUGGGAGAACUUGAGUAAACCUUACCAUUUAGAGGAAGGUGAAGUCGUAACA
RNAcentral lists this ribosomal RNA (329 nucleotides) under uncultured eukaryote. RNAcentral's name for it is "partial 18S ribosomal RNA". It matches the Rfam family "Eukaryotic small subunit ribosomal RNA", at positions 1470 to 1796 of the family's 1831-position model. The record is from RNAcentral.